This 300-nucleotide long non-coding RNA is filed under the name Ananas comosus (pineapple). RNAcentral's name for it is "long non-coding RNA (ACOM_LNC023768)". Lineage: Eukaryota; Viridiplantae; Streptophyta; Magnoliopsida; Poales; Bromeliaceae. The record is from RNAcentral.
UACAAUUAAUUUGGCCGUAGCAUAUAUUUAUAAUACAUGUCUACUAAAUAGAGUCUAAUACUAAUUCAAUUAGAAAUUAGAUUCCGACUCAUAAUCCAUGUAUGCCAAAUUAAAUCUAAAUUAUAUUCAAUCCCAAUUAGAUUAGGAUUUAAUUCCAGUUUAGAUAACUACAAAUCUAAACCAAAUAUAACAAUAUUUAAAAUAACUUUUAUUCUCUAAAAAGUUAACUCAAUCGAAAAUGAUGUUUUAAUUAAAUAUUUUUAUGUUUAACACUUUUCUCCUCACCUAAAAGCUUGCUCU